UACGGAGGGUGCGAGCGUUGUUCGGAAUUAUUGGGCGUAAAGCGCGUGUAGGCGGUUUUUUAAGUCUGAUGUGAAAGCCCCGGGCUCAACCUGGGAAGUGCAUUGGAAACUGGGAGACUUGAAUACGGGAGAGGGUAGUGGAAUUCCUGGUGUAGGAGUGAAAUCCGUAGAUAUCAGGAGGAACACCGGUGGCGAAGGCGGCUGCCUGGACCGAUAUUGACGCUGAGACGCGAAAGCGUGGGGAGCAAACAGG
RNAcentral lists this ribosomal RNA (253 nucleotides) under uncultured bacterium. RNAcentral describes it as "partial 16S ribosomal RNA". It matches the Rfam family "Bacterial small subunit ribosomal RNA", at positions 524 to 776 of the family's 1533-position model. The record is from RNAcentral.